Small nuclear RNA from Nomascus leucogenys (northern white-cheeked gibbon), 102 nucleotides. Lineage: Eukaryota; Metazoa; Chordata; Mammalia; Primates; Hylobatidae. The record is from Ensembl.
UUGUAAGCCAAGAAGCAUUUGUACUAAAAUUGGAAUGACAGAAUAUUAACAUGGUCCCUGCACAAAGAUGACAUGAAAAUUUGUGAAGCUUUCCAUAUUUUU